This is a non-coding RNA of Acanthosepion pharaonis, 87 nucleotides long. The record is from the annotation of a GenBank genome assembly. NCBI's taxonomy places the organism in Eukaryota, Metazoa, Mollusca, Cephalopoda, Sepiida, Sepiidae.
UUCUCGUACGAUCACCGAAGUUAAGCAGCGUAGAGCCAGGUCAGUACUUAGAUGGGGGACCGCUUGGGAACACCUGGUACUGUAAGC